GGAGGCAGCAGUAGGGAAUCUUCCGCAAUGGGCGAAAGCCUGACGGAGCAACGCCGCGUGAGUGAUGAAGGUCUUCGGAUCGUAAAACUCUGUUGUUAGGGAAGAACAAAUUUGUUAGUAACUGAACAAGUCUUGACGGUACCUAACCAGAAAGCCACGGCUAACUACGUGCCAGCAGCCGCGGUAAUACGUAGGUGGCAAGCGUUAUCCGGAAUUAUUGGGCGUAAAGCGCGCGUAGGCGGUUUCUUAAGUCUGAUGUGAAAGCCCACGGCUCAACCGUGGAGGGUCAUUGGAAACUGGGAAACUUGAGUGCAGAAGAGGAGAGUGGAAUUCCAUGUGUAGCGGUGAAAUGCGCAGAGAUAUGGAGGAACACCAGUGGCGAAGGCGGCUCUCUGGUCUGUAACUGACGCUGAUGUGCGAAAGCGUGGGGAUCAAACAGGAUUAGAUACCCUGGUAGUCCACGCCGUAAACGAUGAGUGCUAAGUGUUAGGGGGUUUCCGCCCCUUAGUGCUGCAGCUAACGCAUUAAGCACUCCGCCUGGGGAGUACG
Molecule: ribosomal RNA, 549 nt
Filed under: Staphylococcus sp.
Lineage: Bacteria; Bacillati; Bacillota; Bacilli; Caryophanales; Staphylococcaceae
Description: bacterial SSU rRNA
Rfam family: Bacterial small subunit ribosomal RNA
Source: RNAcentral